Molecule: ribosomal RNA, 497 nt
Filed under: uncultured bacterium
Lineage: Bacteria
Description: partial 16S ribosomal RNA
Rfam family: Bacterial small subunit ribosomal RNA
Source: RNAcentral
GAUGAACGCUGGCGGUGUGCCUAAUACAUGCAAGUCGAGCGAACAGACGAGGAGCUUACUCCUCUGACGUUAGCGGCGGACGGGUGAGUAACACGUGGAUAACCUACCUAUAAGACUGGGAUAACUUCGGGAAACCGGAGCUAAUACCGGAUAACAUGGUGAACCGCAUGGUUCAACAGGGAAAGACGGUCUUGCUGUCACUUAUAGAUGGAUCCGCGUCGCAUUAGCUAGUUGGUAAGGUAACGGCUUACCAAGGCAACGAUGCGUAGCCGACCUGAGAGGGUGAUCGGCCACACUGGAACUGAGACACGGCCCAGACUCCUACGGGAGGCAGCAGUAGGGAAUCUUCCGCAAUGGGGGAAAGCCUGACGAAGCCACGCCGCGUGCGUGAAGAAGGUCUUCGGAUCGUAAAACUCUUUUAUUAGGGAAGAACAAAUGUGUACGUAACUAUGCACGUCUUGACGGUACCUAAUCAGAAAGCCACGGCUAACUACGUG